RNAcentral lists this ribosomal RNA (425 nucleotides) under uncultured rumen bacterium. RNAcentral describes it as "bacterial SSU rRNA". It matches the Rfam family "Bacterial small subunit ribosomal RNA", at positions 354 to 776 of the family's 1533-position model. The record is from RNAcentral.
GUGAGGAAUAUUGGUCAAUGGGCGGGAGCCUGAACCAGCCAAGUAGCGUGCAGGAUGACUGCCCUAUGGGUUGUAAACUGCUUUUAUGCGGGGAUAAAGUGAGGGACGCGUCCCUUUUUGUAGGUACCGCAUGAAUAAGGACCGGCUAAUUCCGUGCCAGCAGCCGCGGUAAUACGGAAGGUCCGGGCGUUAUCCGGAUUUAUUGGGUUUAAAGGGAGCGCAGGCCGAAGGUUAAGCGUGACGUGAAAUGUAGCCGCUCAACGGCUGAACUGCGUCGCGAACUGGCCAUCUUGAGUGAGUACGACGUCAGCGGAAUUCGUGGUGUAGCGGUGAAAUGCUUAGAUAUCACGAAGAACCCCGAUUGCGAAGGCAGCUGACGAGUCCUUUACUGACGCUAAAGCUCGAAGGUGCGGGUAUCGAACAGG